This 96-nucleotide non-coding RNA is filed under the name Acinetobacter sp. ANC 4558. Its description in RNAcentral is "Bacterial small subunit ribosomal RNA". It matches the Rfam family "Bacterial small subunit ribosomal RNA", at positions 1 to 95 of the family's 1533-position model. The record is from Rfam by way of RNAcentral. Lineage: Bacteria; Pseudomonadati; Pseudomonadota; Gammaproteobacteria; Moraxellales; Moraxellaceae.
UAACUGAAGAGUUUGAUCAUGGCUCAGAUUGAACGCUGGCGGCAGGCUUAACACAUGCAAGUCGAGCGGGGAGAUGUAGCUUGCUACAUCACCUAG